UACGGGGGGGGCAAGCGUUGUUCGGAAUUACUGGGCGUAAAGGGCUCGUAGGUGGCCAACUAAGUCGGACGUGAAAUCCCUCGGCUUAACCGGGGAACUGCGUUCAAAACUGACAAGCUAGAGUAUGGUAGAGGGUGGUGGAAUUUCCUGUGUAGCGGUGAAAUGCGUAGAUAUAGGAAGGAACACCAGUGGCGAAGGCGACCACCUGGACUGAUACUGACACUGAGGUGCGAAAGCGUGGGGAGCAAACAGG
Molecule: ribosomal RNA, 253 nt
Filed under: uncultured bacterium
Lineage: Bacteria
Description: partial 16S ribosomal RNA
Rfam family: Bacterial small subunit ribosomal RNA
Source: RNAcentral